UAUGAUGAGAAUCUUUUGAUUAGCUCUAGAUCAAGAGCUGCUUCGGCAGCGAUGAGCGAUAUUUGCAUGUAUUACCUGAAUU
RNAcentral lists this small nucleolar RNA (82 nucleotides) under Exophiala dermatitidis NIH/UT8656. Its description in RNAcentral is "A. fimigatus snoRNA Afu_199". It matches the Rfam family "A. fimigatus snoRNA Afu_199". The record is from Rfam by way of RNAcentral. Lineage: Eukaryota; Fungi; Ascomycota; Eurotiomycetes; Chaetothyriales; Herpotrichiellaceae.